RNAcentral lists this long non-coding RNA (288 nucleotides) under Capsicum annuum. RNAcentral's name for it is "long non-coding RNA (CANN_LNC002227)". The record is from RNAcentral. Lineage: Eukaryota; Viridiplantae; Streptophyta; Magnoliopsida; Solanales; Solanaceae.
UGAAGACCACCUAAAGAGUGCACAAGCCCAAGUGUGAAGGAGGCCCAAAACUGGUUUUGAAGUGUUAAGGAGGCCCACCUUUGGAGGUUUUUAAUGGAAGGGAUCUUUUGUCUUUUGUCCACUACUUGUAUUGUAAUAUAAAUAUAACAUUGUAGGAUUUUAUGUCUUUAGUUUUAUUCUUGAUAUUGUAAGAACACUCCUCUUAGAGAGAGACAGACUCCAACCGAAACCAGGGCCUAACACAAAGGUGGAAUCGUUUGUGUAUGGUGCAUUGCAUGAUACGUUGGU